This is a long non-coding RNA of Syzygium oleosum, 737 nucleotides long. RefSeq lists it as uncharacterized. The record is from RefSeq and is a predicted model, not a curated record. The transcript is spliced from 2 exons. NCBI's taxonomy places the organism in Eukaryota, Viridiplantae, Streptophyta, Magnoliopsida, Myrtales, Myrtaceae.
UAUUUUCUUUCCCCUCCGGUCACUUUCCGCCGGCGGUCGUCGGCCACCGGCCGCCGCCGCCUUCACCGCUACCGGUUGCCGAUCUCCGCCGGUCGCACGAUCUCCGAUUGCCGCCACCCGUCAUUGGCUGCAGGUGAUCACCGAACAUAAAAAAAUGACUUUCGAAAAAAUGUUUUUCAAAAAUAUAAUAUUAUUCGCCAAACAAAUGGAGCGCAAGUAAGAGAUUCCUCUACCUCCCAUGGUAGAAUGGCAGCUCCAUAAACCCUAAUCUCAUCUCUGCUCAACCUCCUUCCAUCUCGCCCUGCGUCUGUUCCCUCAGUUGCCUCUCUCGCAGAGCUUGCUCCGAAUGGCAGAGGAUGAGGAUGCCAAUGCUCGCCUUUCUUCGCUCUGCAAGAGAUCAGACUUGCUCAGGGGAUUGGGAAGGCUUUAGAUGGGAAAGUGGAAAGGAAUGGAUUUUUAUCAGCAGGAGCGAAAGUGGAGAUGAACCUGGAUGCUCCUGUAAAAUCUGGUAUCGUUGCUAGUGGUGGAGGUACGAAGCUUUGGCUUGAUUUUAAAUACGAAAGAUUGCCGCAUUUUUGCUGUUCAUGCGGUAAGCUGGGUCAUUAUGCCAAGUAUUGCACAGAGAUCCCUUAUGAAGAAGGCAAUUUAAUUCCAGAAAAUGACAUUUAUUUUGGGAAAUGGCUACGGGCAGAGGUUGAUGAAUAUAGCCCUUUAUGGAAGGUCUUUUAUGCAGCAAA